AACGCAAAUUGCGCUCCUUGGUAUUCCGAGGAGCAUGCCUGUUUGAGUGUCAUGAAAUCAUCCACCUCACCUUUGGGCUUUUGUCCGAGGGUCCGGCUGGGACUUGGGUGUUUGCGCGGCGAUGAGCCCCGCUCACCUUAAACAUAUUGUAGUGAUCUAGCCUGUUGGCCGGUUUGACUUGGCGUUAUAAAUUAUUUCGCUGAGGACACUCGCAAGGGUGGCCGUUUGACUGCUUGAUCUCGUCUCAAAGUGCUGCACUUAUAGAGGCUACAACUUCUUGACAUCUGGCCUCAAAUCAGGUAGGACUACCCGCUGAACUUAA
This 322-nucleotide unclassified non-coding RNA is filed under the name uncultured fungus. RNAcentral describes it as "partial contains 5.8S ribosomal RNA, internal transcribed spacer 2, and large subunit ribosomal RNA". The stretch from base 1 to 52 matches the Rfam family "5.8S ribosomal RNA", at positions 103 to 154 of the family's 154-position model. Lineage: Eukaryota; Fungi. The record is from RNAcentral.